This 497-nucleotide ribosomal RNA is filed under the name uncultured bacterium. RNAcentral's name for it is "partial 16S ribosomal RNA". It matches the Rfam family "Bacterial small subunit ribosomal RNA", at positions 28 to 507 of the family's 1533-position model. The record is from RNAcentral.
GAUGAACGCUGGCGGCGUGCCUAAUACAUGCAAGUCGAGCGAACGGACGAGAAGCAUGCGCCUCUGAUGUUAGAGGCGGACGGGUGAGUAACACGGGGAUAACAUAACUAUAAGACUGGGAUAACUACGGGAAACCGGAGCUAAUAACGGAUGAUAUUUUGAACCGCAUGGGGCAAAAGUGAAAGACGGUCUUGCGGUCACUUAAAGAUGGAUCCGCGCUGCAUUAGCUAGUUGGUACGGUAACGGCUUACCAAGGCAACGAUGCAUAGCCGACCUGAGAGCGUGGUCGCCCACCCUGGAUGUGAGGCACGUUCCACACUCCUGCGGUGGGCCGCAGUACGGAAUCUUCCGCAAUGGAGCAAUGCCUGACGGUGCAACGCGGCCUAAGUGAUGAUGCUCUUCGGAUCGUAAAACUCUGUUGUUAGUGAAGUUCAUAUGUGUAAGUAACUGUGCACAUCUUGACGGUACCUAAUCAGUAAGCCCCGGCUAACUACGUG